CCAACUGCUAUUGUUUUGGUGUGAUUUCUUGGGGUGCACUAUUACAAAUUUUAGAGCAUAUGACUGUGAACAAUCUCCUCAUCGAACCUAGAGCUAGAGUAACUCCGUUUGACGAUAUUUAGAGCUGCCACAUACAACAGCAGCACUUAGGGGGUUACAUAAAGUGGCGAGCCAGCCAGG
This is a long non-coding RNA of Oryzias melastigma (Indian medaka), 180 nucleotides long. RefSeq lists it as uncharacterized. The transcript is spliced from 4 exons. The record is from RefSeq and is a predicted model, not a curated record. NCBI's taxonomy places the organism in Eukaryota, Metazoa, Chordata, Actinopteri, Beloniformes, Adrianichthyidae.